This 468-nucleotide ribosomal RNA is filed under the name uncultured bacterium. RNAcentral describes it as "partial 16S ribosomal RNA". It matches the Rfam family "Bacterial small subunit ribosomal RNA", at positions 28 to 507 of the family's 1533-position model. The record is from RNAcentral.
GACGAACGCUGGCGGCGUGCUUAACACAUGCAAGUCGAACGGAAAGGCCCUGCUUUUGUGGGGUGCUCUAGUGGCGAACGGGUGAGUAACACGUGAGUAACCUGUCCUUGACUUUGGGAUAACUUCAGGACACUGGGGCUAAUACCGGAUAGGAGCUCCUGCUGCAUGGUGGGGGUUGGAAAGUUUCGGCGGUUGGUGAUGGACUCGCGGCUUAUCAGAUUGUUGGUGGGGUAGUGGCUUACCAAGGCUUUGACGGGUAGCCGGCCUGAGAGGGUGACCGGACCCGUUAGGCCUGAGCUGCGACACAGACCCCAACGGGACGCAGCAGUGGGGUGUAUUGCAUAAUGGGCGGGAGCCUGGUGCAGCAACGCCGCGUGCGGGAUGACGGGCUUCGGGUUGUAAACCACUUUUGCCUGUGACGAAGCGUGAAUGACGGUACUGGGUAAAGAAGCACCGGCUAACUACGUG